CACCUCUAGCAUUACUAGUAUUAGAGGCACUGCCCGCCCAGUGACAUUAGUUAAACGGCCGCGGUAUCCUGACCGUGCAAAGGUAGCAUAAUCAUUUGUUCUUUAAAUAGGGACUUGUAUGAACGGCCACACGAGGGUUCUACUGUCUCUUGCUUCCAAUCAGUGAAAUUGACCUCCCCGUGCAGAGGCGGGGAUACACAAAUAAGACGAGAAGACCCUAUGGAGCUUUAAUUAACUAACUCAAAGAAAAUAUAAAUAACCGCCAAGGGAUAAUAAUCUUCUACCUGAGUUAGCAAUUUCGGUUGGGGUGACCUCGGAGAACAGAAAAACCUCCGAGUGACUAAAAUCUAGACUUACCAGUCAAAAUGUAGUGUCACUUAUUGAUCCAAAAUAUUUGAUCAACGGAACAAGUUACCCUAGGGAUAACAGCGCAAUCCUAUUCAAGAGUUCAUAUCGACAAUAGGGUUUACGACCUCGAUGUUGGAUCAGGACACCCCAAUGGUGCAGCCGCUAUUAAAGGUUCGUUUGUUCAACGAUUAAAGUCCU
RNAcentral lists this ribosomal RNA (546 nucleotides) under Camelus bactrianus (Bactrian camel). RNAcentral's name for it is "partial large subunit ribosomal RNA". It matches the Rfam family "Bacterial large subunit ribosomal RNA", at positions 1816 to 2597 of the family's 2925-position model. Lineage: Eukaryota; Metazoa; Chordata; Mammalia; Artiodactyla; Camelidae. The record is from RNAcentral.